Non-coding RNA from Oryza nivara, 202 nucleotides. The record is from Rfam. NCBI's taxonomy places the organism in Eukaryota, Viridiplantae, Streptophyta, Magnoliopsida, Poales, Poaceae.
UUUAAGUACAACCAUAAGUUUCUGUACCUAACUUUAAUCGUUUGUCUUAUUUAAAAUUUUUUUAUAAUUAAUAUUUUUAUUGCUAUUAGAUAAUAAAACAUGAAUAGUAAUUUAUGCAUGACUUACGUUUUUAAAUUUUUUAAAAAAAAUCUUUUAGAUAAGACAUCAAAUUUGGACACGAAAAAUCAUGGUUGCACUUAAA